ACCUGGCUGGCUCAGUCAGUAGAACGUGGGACUUUUGAUCUUGGGGUUGUGAGUUCAAGCCCCAUGUUGGGUG
This 73-nucleotide transfer RNA is filed under the name Felis catus (domestic cat). It matches the Rfam family "tRNA". From Rfam's summary of the family: Transfer RNA (tRNA) molecules are approximately 80 nucleotides in length. Lineage: Eukaryota; Metazoa; Chordata; Mammalia; Carnivora; Felidae. The record is from Rfam by way of RNAcentral.